CUACUGACCCAAUGUGCCCCCUUCCAGGCUGCCAUCACUUGGAUAGCUCACUCCACAUGCUCUCGCGAGUGAGUGAGCUCAGGCUGCCAGAACCAUAUCAUCUCCAACAUGAAAACCGAACGCCAUAACAUUGCAGGCAGAAUGAUUACAAAAGCACUCAGCAAAAGCCCUGUAGGAGCAGGCCUGGUCUACACAGACAUUGGAAGCGAUUUCAAAC
RNAcentral lists this long non-coding RNA (217 nucleotides) under Dunaliella salina. RNAcentral describes it as "long non-coding RNA (DSAL_LNC000084)". The record is from RNAcentral. Lineage: Eukaryota; Viridiplantae; Chlorophyta; Chlorophyceae; Chlamydomonadales; Dunaliellaceae.